UGGGAAUUUACUGGACCAAGCCCUGGUUUACUCACAUCUAUCCAGUAUUUAAGAAACGGUACCACAGAUGCCAGAAUAAAUACAGACUGUGACAUUCCAGCAACUGGACACGAACAUCUACACAAGGAUGAAGACAUUACAUGCAAUGCUACUGAUGCUGUUUGUUGCAUCAGUCUUUUCAAAAGCGUUUGAUUUGCGCAGAAGAUUUGAUUCAUCAGACUCUGUGCGAUCUAGAUUCAGUUCAGAGGAAAAUGAUUCAAGCAGAGAAGACAGGAAGGAUUCACAGUCCGAUGAGAGUUCUGAAUCAAAUGAGUCUAAAUCAAGUGAAUCUGAAUCUUCGGAAGAAGUUAUCAGAGUUGUGUCAAGCACAACAUCAGCUACCACAACACAAGACAUCACACACUGUGUUACUGUGGAUUUGACAACUGUAAGAAGGGGUGAUAAUGAUAAUGUCAAUAUAAUACCUUGCAGUAAUACUAUUUAAUCAUCUUUUCAUGCAAAACAAACAAAAGUUGAAUGGUGUUCUGUAUUUUACAGUAUAAAGUAAUGUUUAUGUUCUGAUAAUGAAGGUCUUGAUACUGAAUGAUGUAACUUUUAAAAUUACUUUUAAAUUGCAUGUCCCCAUUAUGGUUUUAAGUGUUCAUUCAGAAUAAAAAUAUUUC
Molecule: long non-coding RNA, 662 nt
Organism: Carassius carassius (crucian carp)
Lineage: Eukaryota; Metazoa; Chordata; Actinopteri; Cypriniformes; Cyprinidae
Exons: 3
Source: RefSeq, a predicted model, not a curated record